This 302-nucleotide ribosomal RNA is filed under the name uncultured bacterium. RNAcentral's name for it is "partial 16S ribosomal RNA". It matches the Rfam family "Bacterial small subunit ribosomal RNA", at positions 508 to 807 of the family's 1533-position model. The record is from RNAcentral.
GCAGUAGCCGCGGGAAUACAGAGGGUGCGAGCGUUAAUCGGAUUUACUGGGCGUAAAGCGUGCGUAGGCGGCUUUUUAAGUCGGAUGUGAAAUCCCUGAGCUUAACUUAGGAAUUGCAUUCGAUACUGGGAAGCUAGAGUAUGGGAGAGGAUGGUAGAAUUCCAGGUGUAGCGGUGAAAUGCGUAGAGAUCUGGAGGAAUACCGAUGGCGAAGGCAGCCAUCUGGCCUAAUACUGACGCUGAGGUACGAAAGCAUGGGGAGCAAACAGGAUUAGAUACCCCAGUAGUCCCUGUCUCUUAUAC